RNAcentral lists this ribosomal RNA (521 nucleotides) under Sternoptyx pseudodiaphana. RNAcentral describes it as "partial 16S ribosomal RNA". It matches the Rfam family "Bacterial large subunit ribosomal RNA", at positions 1910 to 2582 of the family's 2925-position model. Lineage: Eukaryota; Metazoa; Chordata; Actinopteri; Stomiiformes; Sternoptychidae. The record is from RNAcentral.
CUGUGACUCUGGGUUUAACGGCCGCGGUAUUUUGACCGUGCAAAGGUAGCGCAAUCACUUGUCUUUUAAAUGAAGACCUGUAUGAAUGGCACGACGAGGGCCCAACUGUCUCCUCUCCCCAGUCAGUGAAAUUGAUCUUCCCGUGCAGAAGCGGGGAUACCCCCAUAAGACGAGAAGACCCUAUGGAGCUUUAGACACUAGGGAGCCCACAUCAAACAACCCUUCACCAACAGGCAGAACUUAGUGGCCCCUCCCCUACUUGUCUUUGGUUGGGGCGACCACGGAGGAAAAAGCAGCCUCCUUGAGGACCGGGGGCACUGCCCCCACAGCCAAGAUCUACUGCUCUAAGCAACAGAACAUCUGACCACCACGAUCCGGUAUUCACCGAUCAACGGACCGAGUUACCCUAGGGAUAACAGCGCAAUCCUCUCCCAGAGUCCCUAUCGACGAGGGGGUUUACGACCUCGAUGUUGGAUCAGGACAUCCUAACGGUGCAGCCGCUAUUAAGGGUUCGUUUGUUC